RNA transcript from Pygocentrus nattereri (red-bellied piranha), 1756 nucleotides. It is a transcript of the gene named CTD (carboxy-terminal domain, RNA polymerase II, polypeptide A) small phosphatase 2, with no coding region annotated. Lineage: Eukaryota; Metazoa; Chordata; Actinopteri; Characiformes; Serrasalmidae. The record is from RefSeq and is a predicted model, not a curated record. The transcript has 8 exons.
UGAUAGAAUAAGUAAGAAAACGGCGCUUUUCCCUCUCCGCCGCCGGUCCCGGUUCGCCCGGAUCGGAAACGGAGCGAAACGGGCCGGUUCGCGUUGAACAUCGGAGCGCGGGAGGAGCGCGCGCGCGGGGUUGUUUAUCUGUAGUAAGGGGAACUUGAAACCGCCGCCCCCCCCACCCCCCUUUGCCCCAUGUCCUCGGUUGUUUUCCUUCUUUCGCCUGGAUUCUCCAUGUUGUCGGAGCAGAACCGAGGGGCUUCCACUCUCCACCGCGGGGGGCUCGGGGUAAACACACACCGCACGGCGGAGAAAGCGGGGACCAUGAGCCCGGAGAAGAGCUGAUAAGAGGACAACAAAACACGAAGUGCCAUGCCCCUCCCCUGUGGAAGGCGGGAAUAAGUCCGUAUUAAAAACAAGAUAAACAGCGCAGCGCUGUUUGUGCAGUUGGGGCGGAAGGUAGAUUUGUUAAUGUCGAGCUGGUCGCAGACCUGGCUAGAUAAUGUUUUAAUGUGUUUUUUUUGGGGGGGGGGGGGGGGGCGGAUGUUGUGUGCGUUAGAUGGAAGUUUCUGUCUAUCAUCGCACAAGUGCAGAGAGAGCGCGAGAGGGAGGGAGGAGGUUCAGCUGGCGUCGAAAACAGAUAUGGCAGACUGUUCCUUGAAUCAAAAGCCUGGAUGUCAAAGCACCUUUAAAGAACUCAGCUUUUUGCCUUCAAGCUCAGGAUGCCCAGCAGCAAAGCAGCACCUUCCCAUGAUGCCUUGUUAGUGCCGGAGGACAAAAGGACUGUUGCCAAGAUUAACUCGGACGGUAGGGUGAAGUGAUUCUGCGUUGAGCAGUGAAAAAUUCAGUCCUCUCCGUAAAGACUGCCAUGUGGAGAUUAAACGGACAGCACAGCUGCAGCUUGUUAAAAGAUCCCAGCUGAAUGUGUGGUCAUAGACCUGGACACGAUGCUGGGGCAUAGCUUGCUGAAGGGUGUACGCAGUGCACAGCGGAUCUCUCUGAGUCUGUGGAGACUGAGGCGCCCCCACACAGCAGCUCAUGGAGAGAGGAGGAAAGCUGGGGAUGAACGUGUAGUUUCGAAACUUUCAAUCAAGACCAUGUUUAUGUUUGGUGGAGUGUUAAAGAGCUGAGCUGCCUCAGCCAGGAGCCCAAGACCCUUAUCCUGGACGAAUCGUCCACCCUGAGAGCUCCAUUCCAGGGCCUUCAUUUGAUGGACGAUGGCGAGUUUGGCAGACCAGAGCGCCACUGAACCCAGAGAGCUCUAGAUCAAGACCCAUCGAGAUACUGCGUCUUACUUGGUCCCUGAAAUAUACUAACCUCCCUAUUGAGUACCUGACACAAACAAAAACACAUUCACACACGACUGUAGACACAUAAACAGAGGUCUGGUUACACUCAUAGAAGCUUUCUUCAUAAUUUCCCAUUUCACAGUAAUGGUGUUAAUUGGUUUUAGCUAAAAUUGUAAGUAUGAAAAAUUUGGUAACGUUUUGGAGGCUUUGUCAUUAUGUUGUUAGUGCCAAAAUGGAGUGUUCAGUCAUUUAUUUCAAUAACAAACAUAAUUAAGAUAUAGGCUUCAAAGGAUUUUAGCCUGAAGUCCAAGUCAGUUAAAGGUCUGAAAGGGCUUUAAACUCUGACUUUGAAGCACUUCGGUAGAAUGAGCCGUAUAUUCCGCCGCGUUCCGAACUCGAAGGCGUUGUUCUCUGGAUGCGGCGCAUGACGGAGUCUAAUAAACUUGAAUAAAUUCUUAUACUGAAGGACCGAA